This 1302-nucleotide ribosomal RNA is filed under the name Purpureocillium lilacinum. Its description in RNAcentral is "eukaryotic LSU rRNA". It matches the Rfam family "Eukaryotic large subunit ribosomal RNA", at positions 72 to 1406 of the family's 3401-position model. Lineage: Eukaryota; Fungi; Ascomycota; Sordariomycetes; Hypocreales; Ophiocordycipitaceae. The record is from RNAcentral.
GGAUUGCCCCAGUAACGGCGAGUGAAGCGGCAACAGCUCAAAUUUGAAAUCUGGCCCCCAGGGCCCGAGUUGUAAUUUGCAGAGGAUGCUUUUGGCGCGGUGCCUUCCGAGUUCCCUGGAACGGGACGCCAUAGAGGGUGAGAGCCCCGUCUGGUCGGACGCCUAGCCUGUGUAAAGCUCCUUCGACGAGUCGAGUAGUUUGGGAAUGCUGCUCUAAAUGGGAGGUAUAUGUCUUCUAAAGCUAAAUACCGGCCAGAGACCGAUAGCGCACAAGUAGAGUGAUCGAAAGAUGAAAAGCACUUUGAAAAGAGGGUUAAAUAGUACGUGAAAUUGUUGAAAGGGAAGCGCUUGUGACCAGACUUGGGCCCGGUGGAUCAUCCAGCGUUCUCGCUGGUGCACCCCGCCGGGUUCAGGCCAGCAUCAGUUCGCCGCGGGGGAAAAAGGCUUCGGGAACGUGGCUCCUACGGGAGUGUUAUAGCCCGUUGCAUAAUACCCUGGGGCGGACUGAGGUUCGCGCUCCGCAAGGAUGCUGGCGUAAUGGUCAUCAGCGACCCGUCUUGAAACACGGACCAAGGAGUCGUCUUCGUAUGCGAGUGUUCGGGUGUAAAACCCCUACGCGUAAUGAAAGUGAACGCAGGUGAGAGCUUCGGCGCAUCAUCGACCGAUCCUGAUGUUCUCGGAUGGAUUUGAGUAAGAGCAUACGGGGCCGGACCCGAAAGAAGGUGAACUAUGCCUGUAUAGGGUGAAGCCAGAGGAAACUCUGGUGGAGGCUCGCAGCGGUUCUGACGUGCAAAUCGAUCGUCAAAUAUGGGCAUGGGGGCGAAAGACUAAUCGAACCUUCUAGUAGCUGGUUUCCGCCGAAGUUUCCCUCAGGAUAGCAGUGUUGAACUCAGUUUUAUGAGGUAAAGCGAAUGAUUAGGGACCCGGGGGCGCUUUUUAGCCUUCAUCCAUUCUCAAACUUUAAAUAUGUAAGAAGCCCUUGUUGCUUAAUUGAACGUGGGCAUUCGAAUGUAUCAACACUAGUGGGCCAUUUUUGGUAAGCAGAACUGGCGAUGCGGGAUGAACCGAACGCGAGGUUAAGGUGCCAGAGUAGACGCUCAUCAGACACCACAAAAGGCGUUAGUACAUCUUGACAGCAGGACGGUGGCCAUGGAAGUCGGAAUCCGCUAAGGACUGUGUAACAACUCACCUGCCGAAUGUACUAGCCCUGAAAAUGGAUGGCGCUCAAGCGUCUCACCCAUACCUCGCCCUCAGGGUAGAAACGAUGCCCUGAGGAGUAGGCGGACGUGGAGGUCGUGACGA